Aquila chrysaetos chrysaetos is the source of this 1132-nucleotide long non-coding RNA. RefSeq lists it as uncharacterized. The transcript has 2 exons. The record is from RefSeq and is a predicted model, not a curated record. Lineage: Eukaryota; Metazoa; Chordata; Aves; Accipitriformes; Accipitridae.
GGGCUGGAAAGUUGGAAUUUCCUGCAGUUUUAUGACAUCUGGAUCAUUGCUGACAUUCCGGGAGGACUGCGUUCCUGGGGCUACCACCACAAUGUCAUCCAUUUUCGCUCGCUGCUUGGCUGGCGACGGAGAUGCUGGAAGGAUACAGGAGAGGAAGGGAACGAUCAGACUAACAAGCGGAUUCCACCAGAACUCAACCCUCAGCAAACGUUGCCACGUUCGACACGGUACAGUCAAAUCAGCAAAGAAGCUGCGCAAUUGUCUAUGAUGGAAGGACCGUCUAUAAACGUGGAAGAGGGCUAGCGUACGAGCGAGCCUGUUCUCCCCCCGCGCACGAUUCCCAGCGUCAUCGAAAGCUCUGCGCUGAACUCGGCGGCGUUUCGCCUGGCUGCCUCUGCUAACUGCCACCGAGAUUUAAUUUAACACAAAAAUAACGCUCCUAUCUCAUGGGAACGGCACCUCACAACUGUUACCCGGAUCAAGGCUACGGGAAGACAGUCCCAAUCCAGCAUCGCCUUUUGCCAGCUGUAGGCUCCACUAUGUGCUUUUGUAACCUAAUAAUAAUUGACCUUUCUUUCAGCUACCUGAACGACUGCUUGAUCCCUGCCAAAAUAACAAAUAAAUAGUAUGAAAUCAAUGUAAUUAUUUGGGGGGAAGAACAAACUAUUCUUGGCACAGUUUGGUUUACAGACUGGAGUUCCUAAUCAGCAAUACGCACACACAUGAAUAAAGUCACACCUGUGAGUAGUCUCUGGCUUUCAAGGAAGGACUGGCAGUGUUUAAAGAGAACUGCUGCAGUGUUUAAAGAUAAAGUGCACUAUGUCCAUAGGACUACAGCCUACCUAGUGCUUGCCACAAUGUCAUUUGACAUUAUCCGUCAGGCUCGGACAAAUUUUAAAAUUAGCUGCGUUGGAUCAGCACAUUUAACUUCAAUUUGCAUCCUUUCCACUUCUACGGAAUGGACUUCUCGCUCCUCUCUGCAGUGUUUUCAUUUAUUAUUGUGAAAGUGUGAAUUUGCGGUAUACCACCACCCCCAGAAAAGUUUUAAUUUAGCUAUCGACCAACAUAUGUGUCUACCGCGUGGAAUUUUAUCAUUGCAAACAUUAUUAAAAUAAAGGUAUAUUUUAAUGUG